CACCUGAGCAGCUGGGUCUCCUUUUCUGGGAGUUCUUCUUAUUCCCAUCCACAUAACCACUCAUCGCAUUGUCUAGCAUCACCAGGUCAGUGAGGAAUAUGCCAAGGAUGGGAAUAAUUCCCUUCUUCUGCUGAUGCCACCUUGCAUGGACUGUUUGGGGACUCGCCUCCAGGGUGGCUGACUUGGAGUUCCCCACACUUAUGAGCAGAUCCCUGUUCAGUGACUUGUCUUUGCUGCACAGCUUUGGACAUUUUUCUGUUGCUUUAUCUUGGCCACUCAGAGCAGAGCCGCCACAACCCCCCACCCCACAGUCCCUGGGCCAAAGUGGCCCAGGUUAGGGUCCCUGAAACAAGAGACACCGGAGAGUUCCCUCUCCCUCUCUUUCUUUUUCUUUUUGCGGCUGUGGACACCUUUCAACACUGUCUUCUUGGCCUUUAAAUCCUUUGCUUUGGCUUCGGCUUUAGGAGGGACAGGAGUUUCCUUCUUCACUUUCGGCGCCAUCUUGUGAAAAGGGAAAGUUUGCUUUCUAAUACCAUUUUCACUUCUCCUCUCUUUCCCUCUGCCCCCCGCACCCUCUUUCCAGGAGCACGAAGAGGUCAUGUGAGCACGCAGUGGGAGGGUGGCCAUAUGUGAUUAACAAUGGGUAUGCUUUGUAAACCAUCUAGAUCUCAUACAGUCAUAUCUUAUGAUUUCCCAUAAUUAGUUGGUCAUGGUUUGUAACUCCUGACAAACAUUAAGGUUUUAGUUUUAGAGAGAUUUUAUCCUUUUACACUGAAUAACAAAAAAAUACAUCAGAGGGAAAGUUGCCACUUAUGAUAGACCAGAGGCAGUUUCCGUCUCAUUUGCCCCUUGCCUCAGGUUGAUUACUCUCAUUUUCGCCUUGCCUCGGGUUGAUUAGUUAGUACAUGAACAUUCUGCCUAGUUUCCUGGGCUUACAUAUUCUGUAUCCUCAACACGGAAAGGUGAUUCACAAUAUGUAGCUUGAACAAAAAUACUUUUAGGUCUAAGAUAUUUGUUUUACACUGUAUUUUUUCAUUAAACUUUUCUUUUUAUCUUUCCUUAUGUAUGUAUUCAUUUAUUUGUUAAAAAAUUGAGAUGAGGGCUCACAUGUUGCCCAGGCUGGUCUUGAACUUCUGGGCUACAGUGAUCCUCCUGCCUCAGCCUCCCAAAGUGCUGUAUUACAGGCAUGAGCUACCACACCCUGCCCAUUAAACCUUUCUUUAAGAGUUUUAUUUUCAAAGACAGGGCAUUGAUUGAUUGAUUGAUUUAGAGACGGGGUCUUUCUAUGUUGCCCAGGCUGGUGUUGAACUCCUGGGCUGAAGCAAUCCUCCCACCUUGGCCUUCCAAUGUUGAGAUUACAGGCAUGAUCCACCAUGCCCAGCUGGACAGAGCAUUUUAAAAUGCAAAUGUGUACUGACCUCAUCAGUAGGAGGAUGCAUUCUGGCACCCCUGUUCUUCACCUGUCCUCCAAUCCUUAAAAGGCCACACUGCAUAAAGUCAACAGCAGAUAAAUGUUUGCUGAAUUAAAGGAUGGAUAAAAAAAUUAAUAAUGAAUUUUUGCAUAAUCCAAUAUUCUCUUUUAUAUGUCUAGAAGAAGUUUCUUUGAGCCUAUUAGAUCCUGGGAAUCUUUUAGGUGAGCAUGAUUAGAGAGCUUGUAGGUUGCUUUUACACAUAUCUGGCAUAUUUGAGUCUCGUAUCAAAACAAUAGAAUUUUGUGGAUCGUUUCUUGGUAUCCACCCCAGACCUCAAGAGUGUGGGCUGGAUCUUAGGGAUUGUGAAGUCUUCAUUUCCCUGUGGUGAGACGUGGGACAUGACUUUAGAUAGUGUGAGGGAAGAAGAUCUCCAGGCACUUAAAUAGAAUGGAGAAGCAGGAUGGGAUUUGAGAGGAAAUCUGAUUUUGAAGAAAGGAGAACUGGAGUUGAGUUGGUAAUUAACUAGGCACCUUAAAGGUCAUUCAGCAUGCAUUUUGGGAGGCUGAGGCAGGUGGAUCACCUGAGGUCAGGAGUUCGAGACCAGCCUGACCAACAUAGUGAAACCGUCUCUACUAAAUACAAAAAAUUAGCCAGAUGUGGUGGUGGGUGCCUGUAAUCCCAGCUACUUGGGAGGCUGAGGCAGGAGAAUUGCUUGAACCCGGGAGGCAGAGGUUGCACUGAGCCAAGACUGCACCAUUGCACUCUAGCCUGGAUGAUAGAGUAAGACUCUGACUCCAAAAAAAAAAAAAAAAAAA
Macaca fascicularis (crab-eating macaque) is the source of this 2227-nucleotide long non-coding RNA. The record is from Ensembl. NCBI's taxonomy places the organism in Eukaryota, Metazoa, Chordata, Mammalia, Primates, Cercopithecidae.